RNAcentral lists this ribosomal RNA (370 nucleotides) under uncultured prokaryote. Its description in RNAcentral is "bacterial SSU rRNA". It matches the Rfam family "Bacterial small subunit ribosomal RNA", at positions 524 to 896 of the family's 1533-position model. The record is from RNAcentral.
GACGAAGGAUCCAAGCGUUAUCCGGAUUCAUUGGGUUUAAAGGGUGCGUAGGCGGGUUUGUAAGUCAGUGGUGAAAGCCGGUCGCUCAACGAUCGAAUUGCCAUUGAUACUGCGGACCUAGAAUAUAGAUGAUGUUGGCGGAAUAUGACAUGUAGCGGUGAAAUGCAUAGAUAUGUCAUAGAACACCUAUUGCGAAGGCAGCUGACAAAACUAUUAUUGACGCUGAUGCACGAAAGUGCGGGGAUCAAACAGGAUUAGAUACCCUGGUAGUCCGCACAGUAAACGAUGAUAACUAGAUGUUUGCGAUAUACAGUAAGCGUCCAAGCGAAAGCGAUAAGUUAUCCACCUGGGGAGUACGCCCGCAAGGGUG